Molecule: ribosomal RNA, 251 nt
Filed under: uncultured Pasteurellaceae bacterium
Lineage: Bacteria; Pseudomonadati; Pseudomonadota; Gammaproteobacteria; Pasteurellales; Pasteurellaceae
Description: partial 16S ribosomal RNA
Rfam family: Bacterial small subunit ribosomal RNA
Source: RNAcentral
UACGGAGGGUGCGAGCGUUAAUCGGAAUAACUGGGCGUAAAGGGCACGCAGGCGGACUUUUAAGUGAGGUGUGAAAGCCCCGGGCUUAACCUGGGAAUUGCAUUUCAGACUGGGGGUCUAGAGUACUUUAGGGAGGGGUAGAAUUCCACGUGUAGCGGUGAAAUGCGUAGAGAUGUGGAGGAAUACCGAAGGCGAAGGCAGCCCCUUGGGGAUGUACUGACGCUCAUGUGCGAAAGCGUGGGUAGUGAACG